GGGGAUUUAGCUUAAUGGCAAUGCAUCUGCCUUGCAAGCACAAGGUCCUGAGUUCAAUCCCUG
RNAcentral lists this transfer RNA (63 nucleotides) under Fukomys damarensis (Damara mole-rat). It matches the Rfam family "tRNA", at positions 1 to 63 of the family's 71-position model. From Rfam's summary of the family: Transfer RNA (tRNA) molecules are approximately 80 nucleotides in length. Their secondary structure includes four short double-helical elements and three loops (D, anti-codon, and T loops). Lineage: Eukaryota; Metazoa; Chordata; Mammalia; Rodentia; Bathyergidae. The record is from Rfam by way of RNAcentral.